AUGACCUCAAUCAGAUGAGACUACCCGCUGAACUUAAGCAUAUCAAUAAGCGGAGGAAAGAACUACAGGAUCCCUCAGUAACGGCGAGUGAAGAGGGAAGAGCUCAGUUUUGAAUCUGGCAGUCAUUCACUGUCCGAGUUGUAA
Molecule: ribosomal RNA, 144 nt
Filed under: uncultured Craterellus
Lineage: Eukaryota; Fungi; Basidiomycota; Agaricomycetes; Cantharellales; Hydnaceae
Description: partial 28S ribosomal RNA
Rfam family: Eukaryotic large subunit ribosomal RNA
Source: RNAcentral